Molecule: long non-coding RNA, 765 nt
Organism: Peromyscus eremicus (cactus mouse)
Lineage: Eukaryota; Metazoa; Chordata; Mammalia; Rodentia; Cricetidae
Exons: 2
Source: RefSeq, a predicted model, not a curated record
AAAAAAAAAAAAAAAAUCCCCUGCUUUCCUCGUCACAGCACAGGGGGGCACGUCUGGGACUCAGGGCCUUGGAGUCGAAAGCUACUGAGCACUGGCUGCGCCACAGAGAAUCUCUGGCUGUUGGAGAUGUGAGGGACCCAGCAGGAAAGGCCCAAAGAAGACAAAGGAUAGAGGUGCAGUCUCUACAGAGGAGCCCAGGCACGUGGGAGGCUGGCAGGAGGAGCAUUGAUGGCUCUGAGCUCCUUCAGCCCCAGAGAUCUGAGCCACUCCUUUGGGGGGACAUUUCAGAUCCAAACCAGAAUACAGUGCUUGGAGGAGGCUUGUCUCGGAAAUCAGGAGAGAGCCGUCUUGUUGGAACCCAAUGGCAAGUCAGAAGGAGACACAACCCAAUCACUUGGUGUCUGUGUCUGGCUGUUGAGCUGAGUCACCCUCGGUCUGAUCUUGUGGGGACAGGAGUUUGUGUUUGACUUGGGACCAAGGCCGCCGGUGGUCCUUAGCAACAGGAGGAGGAGCCAGUGAUGUGCAAGGCAGAGCUUGAUGCCAUCCCCUUCUUAGUGCCACGGUGGAGCACUUCUGUCCCUGGAGAGUAGGUCUGGGGUCUGGCUGGAACACUAACAAUGCUCCGGUGCGGAGCUGGUCAUUAAUUAAGCCCCAUUGUUCCACUCUCACACUGCUAGGGAGAGAAACUAUUUCCUCCCUUGCCUGAACUCACUCAGACUCUCUUCUGUACAAUUAACUAAAAUAAAAACCGCUUUCAGCAUUAAA